This 472-nucleotide ribosomal RNA is filed under the name uncultured bacterium. Its description in RNAcentral is "bacterial SSU rRNA". It matches the Rfam family "Bacterial small subunit ribosomal RNA", at positions 40 to 507 of the family's 1533-position model. The record is from RNAcentral.
CGGCAUGCCUUACACAUGCAAGUCGAACGGCAGCACGGGAGCAAUCCUGGUGGCGAGUGGCGAACGGGUGAGUAAUGCAUCGGAACGUACCUUUCAGUGGGGGAUAACGUAGCGAAAGUUACGCUAAUACCGCAUAUUCUGUGAGCAGGAAAGCAGGGGAUCGCAAGACCUUACGCUGAUUGAGCGGCCGAUGUCAGAUUAGCUAGUUGGUGAGGUAAAGGCUCACCAAGGCGACGAUCUGUAGCGGGUCUGAGAGGAUGAUCCGCCACACUGGAACUGAGACACGGUCCAGACUCCUACGGGAGGCAGCAGUGGGGAAUUUUGGACAAUGGGGGCAACCCUGAUCCAGCCAUGCCGCGUGAGUGAAGAAGGCCUUCGGGUUGUAAAGCUCUUUCGGCCGGGAAGAAAUCGUAUGGGCUAAUACCCUGUGCGGAUGACGGUACCGGCAUAAGAAGCACCGGCUAACUACGUG